GAUGAAGAACGUAGCGAAAUGCGAUAAGUAGUGUGAAUUGCAGAAUUCAGUGAAUCAUCGAAUCUUUGAACGCACAUUGCGCCCCUUGGUAUUCCAUGGGGCAUGCCUGUUCGAGCGUCAUUUGUACCUUCAAGCUUUGCUUGGUGUUGGGUGUUUGUCCAUUCUCUUGCAGAGGGACUCGCCUUAAAGUAAUUGGCAGCCAGUGUUUUGGUUUUGAAGCGCAGCACAAGUCGCGAUUCAAAGCUAUACGCCCGCUUCCACAAGCCUUUUUCACUUUUGACCUCGGAUCAGGUAGGGAUACCCGCUGAACUUAAGCAUAUCAAUAAGCGGAGG
Molecule: unclassified non-coding RNA, 333 nt
Filed under: soil metagenome
Description: partial contains 5.8S ribosomal RNA, internal transcribed spacer 2, and large subunit ribosomal RNA
Rfam family: 5.8S ribosomal RNA (bases 1-120)
Source: RNAcentral